This 72-nucleotide transfer RNA is filed under the name Egretta garzetta (little egret). It matches the Rfam family "tRNA". From Rfam's summary of the family: Transfer RNA (tRNA) molecules are approximately 80 nucleotides in length. Their secondary structure includes four short double-helical elements and three loops (D, anti-codon, and T loops). Further hydrogen bonds mediate the characteristic L-shaped molecular structure. tRNAs have two regions of fundamental functional importance: the anti-codon, which is responsible for specific mRNA codon recognition, and the 3' end, to which the tRNAs corresponding amino acid is attached (by aminoacyl-tRNA synthetases). tRNAs cope with the degeneracy of the genetic code in two manners: having more than one tRNA (with a specific anti-codon) for a particular amino acid; and 'wobble' base-pairing, i.e. permitting non-standard base-pairing at the 3rd anti-codon position. Lineage: Eukaryota; Metazoa; Chordata; Aves; Pelecaniformes; Ardeidae. The record is from Rfam by way of RNAcentral.
GGGGAUGUAGCUCAGUGGGAGAGCGCUUGCUUUGCAUGCAAGAGGCCCUGGGUUCAACCCCCAGCAUCUCCA